ACAAUGUAAGAUGCCCAGGAAGCUUUGCUGUAAUCCUGAAUCUUUAGACUUUUCUAGGAGACUUGGGCAUCACAAGAUCAAAACAGAGACCUUCACACUCAAGUUUUUAAGACAGAGAAAAGUUCCUUGAGCAAAUGCAAGAAACACCAAAAACAAUCCAUUGAUACACUUGGUGACAUUAAUUGAGAAAAAAACAAUACGGUCUGGCCAUGGAGGCAUGAUAUCCGUAACAUCCCCCAAAGGAGCUAAAGAAGAAAUCCACAAUUUACCAUGAGCAUUUCUCGUCUAAUGAUUGCCAAGCGAUUCCUCCAGGACAUUCCUCAAGAUCAAUUUCUGUUCAUCCACCUUGUCCUGGGAGGGACAUCAAUGGGUUUCCAUGUCCUUUGGCUUCUGGUUGAGUUCACUCAGUGGAGAACCCUGGCAAGAGGCAGGAAAAGGGGAGGAAGGUGAAAACCAUCCAUUUCUUGGAGAAGUGCCACGGUGGGGUUGCAAGUCCCAGGAUCAAGAUUUCGAUGUGUCUCUUUUUCCCGUAAAGUGGCUGAAAUCUGAAGCUGAAUCUGCAAGUGUCAUGGAGUCAUUGAAUCUCACAGUCUCAACUGAUAAAAGUUAUUAAAGGUAAAAAUGGUGCUACCCUUGGAAAUCCAAGAGCAGCUUCAAGAGUCAACUAUACCAGCAAUCCCUAAAGCUGGAGAAUUUAUGCCCAUGGAAAAGUCUGUAGCGUUUUGCAAACCUU
This 733-nucleotide long non-coding RNA is filed under the name Pan troglodytes (chimpanzee). RNAcentral describes it as "lincRNA". Lineage: Eukaryota; Metazoa; Chordata; Mammalia; Primates; Hominidae. The record is from RNAcentral.